This 72-nucleotide transfer RNA is filed under the name Agrilus planipennis (emerald ash borer). It matches the Rfam family "tRNA". From Rfam's summary of the family: Transfer RNA (tRNA) molecules are approximately 80 nucleotides in length. The record is from Rfam by way of RNAcentral. Lineage: Eukaryota; Metazoa; Arthropoda; Insecta; Coleoptera; Buprestidae.
CCUCUCUUAGCCUAGUGGUCAGAGUAUUGGUGUGUGAAGCCAAAGGUCCCGGGUUCGACUCCCGACAGGGGU